Long non-coding RNA from Dreissena polymorpha, 2466 nucleotides. RefSeq lists it as uncharacterized. The transcript is spliced from 4 exons. The record is from RefSeq and is a predicted model, not a curated record. Lineage: Eukaryota; Metazoa; Mollusca; Bivalvia; Myida; Dreissenidae.
GUUGUGUACAUGUAAAAUUAAAAACGAGGAUGUAUCCACAUCACCGUUGCACAUUGUUAUUAAUUUCACAGUUAUCUGUUCUUUAUUAGAGAUAGCCUAAUUAAAGACGGCGCUAAUAAAAUGUGAAGGUGGAUAUAAAGAAAUAAGGUCAAUUUCCGCACUGACAGUAUAGCAAGUAGUCUUAUAUAACAUAUUAAAAAUAUUCCAUGGUUAAAAAUGCACGAUGUUAUAUAGUAAAAGAGUGUGUUUGAGUAAUCAAUAGGAUAUUUUGUAUUGGCUAUAUUGUUUCACUCGUAAAGAAAAUACCAAAAUCGACGUGCGAAACGUAAAAAUUUAUAUCUGAAAUAAUAUUGUUAAGGGCGUUAAGCUAGUUAAAAAUAAUCACGAUUAUUUACUAUGUAUAAAUUAGAUAAAACGUUAAGAUGUAAAUUCUUAUCAUAAAUAUAAAAUGCACAUAAUAUUAUAAUAUUCAUUCAUAUUUCAUUAUUUCAGGUAAAAGUACAAACAUAUUGUUUUAAAUCCUAUGUAAUCAGCACUUUAUGUUGGAUUUCAACAAUGCUUAAUUAAUUAUCGGGUGUAGCAGCGGUGUACAUUACCCAUAUGAUAUAACGCAAAGGUAACGGUCAAGCGACUUCCCACAUUUAUAUGACAUGUUUUAUUAUCGUUAUCAGGUAUCUGUUAUGUGUCAACGGAUUAACGGACAUUGGUUGAUUACCCGAUAAUAUGCAAGUAUCAAAUGAUUUAGAUUCAUAAGUUAUGGGAAAACAUUAUAUGCCUGACCUGAAAAAUGUAAGUCAUAACAAAUAAUUAUAUUAUAAGUUCACUUACCAGAAUCACAACCUAAGUGUUGCCAUCGCUCGCAGGCAUCGCAAGAAACAGCACGUUGCCUCUGCCCAACUGUCUUUCCACAAUGUAUGCACUUUACCACUUCUGCCAUUGCAGAAACACAAAACUCACUUACUCUCACAGUAAAAUUAUUGUAUCCUACAUUUAAGAAGCACAAAUGUUUGAAAUAUUUAUAUAAAUUAGUUCAAUUUAUGAUUCACUGUGUGUGUUUCAGAGUUUAUUUACAGGUCCUACUGGCCUCUUCACGAGGUUAUGGUAGCCCGACCUGCCCCUGUGACCUCUCAGGGGAAAAAGAUUAAUUUAGAGCCAAAGUAGGUCAAAUUUACCCCGGCUUCCCGGGUAUUCGCCAAAUAAUUUAAUUUUAAAGAGAGUUUCGUGCACGUUGGCCAAUGAGACCUUAAUGUGUUAUUUACCGUAAGGUGGUGAUGAGGUGCGGAUCCCGCCGAGUGUCCCGCACACUACUUAUGUACAAGACACUCAACGCGACCCACAUACCAACACCACUCGGUAAGUAAGACCCGGAAUACACACACAUAACGCUCUCACAACCCCCCACUCAUAACGGGUGAUGUGUAUGAGAGUGCCACGCCCAUGUGUUCCGGGUCCCUUGAUGUUGAUCUGUGUAUGGUUGUGUAUAGUAUGUGGUAUGUGAUUGUUGUGCAUUUGUCUGGAGCGGAAGAGGAGAUGUCUGUCGGUUAUUUACGGUCGUCGGUCAGUCGUGAAGGGCUGUAUAUCGUUGCAGUUCCCAGAUCGCAGAACACGCCGCCCCCGCACAAGCGCACCCACGCCGAGCGAGCCCGAGCCCCCCCCCCCCCGCGCCCGCAUACGGCCCCGGCCCUAGCACCCAACCGCUGAAGACCCUCGAGACAAGCACCCUCAUCCACCCUCUCGCUGCGCGCGACAACAGAUCAGUCAAGAACCAACCAUGGAGCCCCCCAAAGCCCCACCCGGAGUCACCAUCGUUCUUUCCCACCCACCUGCCAAACAUCCAGACCAUGUAUCAAGCUGGGAUAUUUCAGGGGCGAAUUGUCUUGGGGUGAGAUUUCUUUGGGGCGAGUUGUCUGAUUCCCAUUCCGAAUGGACUUUGAAAGAAACGAACGACAACUUUGUAAGAAAACCCGCCAAUGGGGCUCGCGACCAAUCGGAUGGAUGCUAUGCCUGCUGGGAUAGCCAUGCUCUUUUUCGACGCGGACAGUGGACCCGACAUGACCGACUUAACGGACUCGACGUGACGGACUCGACCUGAUCAAUUUUCUUUAUUCUUAGACUUAAGUCUAAGAAUUGUUUGGUGAAUACGGGCCUAGCAGAUUCUUUUGUGCACGAGAUGCGGUCAAAAAGAAGAAAAGACGAAAGAACCAAUCCAGACUUGGUGGCAGAGGAAAGUAUAAAAAAGAAUGCAGAUCUUGGUGGAUUUUGUGUGGAUACAAUUCCACCUAAAGGUAGAGGAGUUAGAACAGAAGUUCAUAGAAACAAGGGCGACUUUCUCCUUACCUAUCAUGGAGAAUUAAUCACAGGAGAAGAAGGCAAUAAAAGAGAACUAAUGUCUGUCUCUGUCUUCAGAUUCUUCUUUUCUUUCAAAGGGAAGCAGUGGUGGUAAGCAGAUGACUUUUAUGUUCUUCC